GACGAACGCUGGCGGCGUGCUUAACACAUGCAAGUCGAACGGACAUUUUUUGGAAAGUUCUUCGGAACUGGAAUCUAAAUGUUAGUGGCGGACGGGUGAGUAACGCGUGAGCAAUCUGCCUUUCAGAGGGGGAUAACAGCCGGAAACGGCUGCUAAUACCGCAUAAUGCAUUGGAUUCGCAUGUUUCUGAUGCCAAAGAUUUUAUCGCUGAAAGAUGAGUCUACGGCUGAUUAGCCAGUUGGCGGGGUAAAGGCCCACCAAAGCUAUGAUCAGUAGCCGAGCUGAGAGGCUGGCCGGCCACAUUGGGACUGAGACACGGCCCAG
This 324-nucleotide ribosomal RNA is filed under the name uncultured bacterium. RNAcentral's name for it is "bacterial SSU rRNA". It matches the Rfam family "Bacterial small subunit ribosomal RNA", at positions 28 to 334 of the family's 1533-position model. The record is from RNAcentral.